UGUGAUUGACUAAACGCAGAUCCGGAAGCUAAUCACCUCACAGAAGUGGAAAGGCCUGACACUGACGGAUAAGGAUGUUGUCACAACACGUUCCUUCCAGAUCGGAGAGGUCAUAUGUGACUAUCACGGAAGUGUAGUUACGGCAGGUGAGGCCCAAAACAUCCAAACUGAAAAGGGUGAAUCUGGAGGCUUGUUCUUCUACAGAAACAGGAAGGGCGAGUCGAUGUGCAUAGACUCCAGCCACUGCGAAUGCCACCCCGACGGGAAGCCGUUCUGUCACCGCAUUUGCCACUCUGGGAAGCAUGCCAAUAUACGUCCCAGGCUGUUUACAGUUCAGGAGGAUGGGAAGGACAAGGACAUUAUCUUGUUUCUGGCAAUCCGAAAGAUCCAGACCAAUGAAGCACUCUACUACGAUUACGGAGACAAGAAGAAGUCCUACAGGGGAGAGGGUCUAGAUCUCAACUGGGAAUAGACCCCCACUUCUGGAACACCAGCAACACACCGUUUAUGAAUAAGAAUGCAAAACUUUUGAGACUUUGAACAGCAAAUCUUUUACUCUCCUUAUGCACAAUGCCAGCGGUUAUGAAUUUGGCGGGCAAAUCUAUGGACACUUUGUACAGAAAAAAUCUUUUUACUUUCCUGAUGAAUAACACCAGUCAUUAUGAAUUUGCGCGGGCAAAUCUAUGGGAAUGAAAAUUUCAAGCAGGAGGUAGAAAACGUUUCCAGAUUUUUCCACUUCACGAACACACAACAGCCGUCCCUGUUGUUUGUGAGGAACAGGAAGAAAUCAAAGCUGUUUAUGCGUGAGCUUACUAAGCUAAUGGAUGAUAGCCAGCAAAGAAAUCGUCCAGAAGCGGCACAUUUUCCAGUACAAAGAUAUCAACCAGCUUCACAAGAAUUAAGUGCACCAUCGUAACCUCUCUGAACUGUACUUCUCUUAGUCUCAGGUCUUCACUUGUCUGGUAUUCAUAAUAGAAAUAAGCUGACACGUUCAUUUAUCCUCUUGCAUUGAGAAGAUGAGCAACUGUGCGAGAUGGGCAGACACAUCCAAACUCUCUCAAAGAAAACACACACAAUCACACACACUGAUCGCCUGGAAAAUAUAAUACAAAAUUAUUUCAAUUAUAUUUCAAGUAUGCAACUGAACAUCUGUAUGUUUAUCAUUGAAUAUUUCAACGUACCUCACUGUUAGAGCUGUCUAUCCCACUAUCUGUCAUUUCCUUGUCGGACAAAUAAAAAUUUGUCCGACAUGCUAUUAAAAUAGCUAUUAAAUAUUUUAAGUCUCCCGCAGACCGUUACGCAUGCACGAGCUGUUUGCGUCACUGAAUGCGUCAUGCAUAGAUGAGACCAUGACGCAUGCACAAGCUGCUUGUAUCACUGAAUGCGUCAUGCAUAGAGCAGAGUUUGAAGAAUGCAAAGGAAAUGCAAAGGCUUUUAGGCUGCCAUAUUUGUUUACAUCGCAAAGCAUUGUGUGAGUUUGAGUGUCGGGAAA
Molecule: long non-coding RNA, 1492 nt
Organism: Triplophysa dalaica
Lineage: Eukaryota; Metazoa; Chordata; Actinopteri; Cypriniformes; Nemacheilidae
Exons: 3
Source: RefSeq, a predicted model, not a curated record